CCUACGGGAGGCAGCAGUGGGGAAUAUUGGACAAUGGGCGCAACCCUGAUCCAGCGACGCCGCGUGAGGGAAGAAGGAUCUCGGUAUGUAAAGCUCUAUCUGCAGGGAAGAAAAUGGCGGUACUUGUCCAGGAAUCCGCGUCCAACUACGUGCCAGCAGCGGUGGUAAUACGAAGGGGGCAAGCGUUAUCCGGAUUAACUGGGUGUAAAGGGAGCGUAGUCGGCUGCACAAGUCUGCUGUGAAAGCCCGGGGCUUAACCCCAGAACUGCAUUUGAAACUGUGCGGCUGGAGUACAGGAGAGGUAGGCGGAAUUCGUAGUGUAGCGGUGAAAUGCGUAGAUAUUAGGAAGAACACCGAUGGCGAAGGCAGCUUGCUGGACUGUAACUGACGCUGAGGCGCGAAAGCGUGGGGAGCAAACAGGAUUAGAUACCCCGGUAGUC
Molecule: ribosomal RNA, 440 nt
Filed under: uncultured bacterium
Lineage: Bacteria
Description: partial 16S ribosomal RNA
Rfam family: Bacterial small subunit ribosomal RNA
Source: RNAcentral